RNA transcript from Magallana angulata, 3128 nucleotides. It is a transcript of the gene named multiple epidermal growth factor-like domains protein 10, with no coding region annotated. The transcript has 11 exons. The record is from RefSeq and is a predicted model, not a curated record. NCBI's taxonomy places the organism in Eukaryota, Metazoa, Mollusca, Bivalvia, Ostreida, Ostreidae.
CUGGUUGUCAAAUAAUUUUCUAAGGGUUUCUUUCAGUCUAAUCUUAAUGAUCAUUAAUACAACACUUCUAAUGCAAAAGCGAUUUGCACAAAAGAGGGGAGGAAAUGGAAAAACGCAUAUUUUUACCGAUGACAUUUUGGUUUUCUUUACCAUGGAUAGCUUAUACUUACGAAAACAUUGCUUUACGCAAAUUAGCUAUGCAGCAACAUCCGUUCGUGCCUCGCGAUCCCUCAUACCGUAUUUUCGAUUUUUCCGCCUCUAAUGCUGUGGAUGGACUGAAGACAGAUUGUUCUGCCUAUGGAGGUCAAUGCACACUGUCAGGGGUCAAUAAACGUACAGCACUUUGGAUGGUUGACCUUGGGUCCAUUCUGAGCAUCCAUCAUAUUACCAUUUACUAUAGAACCGACAACAUUACCUGGGGUCCUAGCAAUGGUUUUGUCCAUAGAUUCCUUGGGUUCUCUGUAUUCAUAAUGAACACCACAGAGGGCAAAGAUUUGGUAUCAUGUUUCCAUGACACGACGUUUAAUGACACGACUAUACCGGCAGUGUUAACUUUAAAUUGUACCACCCAGGGGAGGUACGUCAUCUACUACAACAACAGGACAGCUACUAAUUUGCCAUCCUUCUACUCAGAAUAUGCGUUCACCGAACUGUGUGAAUUUGAAGUAUAUGGCUGUUCCAAUCCCGGAUACUACAGCGAGAACUGUUCCAUGCCGUGUCCACCCCACUGUGUAAACAGUCGGUGUCAUAUAGAGACUGGUCAUUGCUUUGAAUGUGAAGAUGGAUAUCGGGGACCAAUGUGUGAACAACUUUGUCAAAACAACACAUUUGGAGGUGGUUGUUCAGAGAGUUGUGGCCAAUGUCUUAGUGGACUCCAAUGUCACCACGUUACUGGAUCUUGUUACCUUGGAUGUGCACCAGGGUACUAUGGAAGUCAAUGUAAAACGGCAUGCCCAAGUGGGAACAACAGAUCCAAUGGCAACUGUAUACAGGAUUCAUCUCAGGAAAAUAAAGAAAUCGGAAGAAAUAAUCAAACCGGAAAUAUGAUUAUCUAUGUUGCUAUUGGUGGAUCGGUAGGAGUCGUGUCUGUUGUAAUUGCAGUAACUGUCAUAGUGUACAAACUAAGACGCAGUGGCAAGAAGGAUCAUCUGUCGAACACACAGGCAUCAGAUAAACAACCGAACAACGAGGACGUUUCCCUUCAAUACGACGAUAACAUUCAGGACUCCAAGUGUCAUGGAGAGUCAUCUUCACAGAAGUCGGAAUAUUACUGCGAACUGGCGGAAACUGAAUACAAUGAUACUGCAACUGGAAGAGCCUAUGAAAAUAUCUGAUUCGAUUAUGUCAAUGAACUGUGUCACAAUUAUGUUCCAACCAUACUCCCAUACUUUUGGUUGAGUUCUAGUAUCUAAACUUUGUUUGAAAUGUAUUUCCAUACUUUUGAGUUAUUUAUAUAUUUUUGCUUGCAUGAGUGGUCACUGGGUGUAGUAAUACUACUGGAGAAAACCUGUUUAACAGGUAUUAUUUAUUUUUAAAUAAACUUGCUAAGUGGUUUGAAGAGUGAGGUUAGAUGUAUUCUGGGCGACACGCUGUGUGGACGUGUCUGUACUCUUGGUGAGAUAUCUUGGGCGUUUCCCAUGCUGUGUGAUCUUGGGAACGGCAUCCCUGUGUGGGCUUAUUUGUGUGAGAGAGAUACAACCCAGUGACCACGGAGUGGGCACGUGCACGUGGUGGACCAUGUUAUAUCCGUGGAAGGACUUAUGGUGGGACAAAUAAUAUCCAAACCAAAAACUUAUGCUUUUCCAGUCCUCCGGAACUUACCUUAUGUGAGACGUCUUGUCGAAUGCCAUCUAGUUCAUCCGAUAGAACUGAUGUCAACAACCUCCUAAUUAUUGUAUAUUUGUAAAUAAAUUGUGUUUGUUUUGUAAAUUUUGUUUUGUUUGACUUACAAGGACCAUCCUUUUACCAGAUUGGUGAAAUGUGUUAAGAACCUAGUAUACAAUUUGAAUGCAAUUGUGACAUUUUGGUGGCAGCGGUGGGAUGGUCUUUGUUUAGUCAUUUUUUUGUGGUACUAUUUGUGUGAACUACUCGCAUAUUUUUCCAUUGUAAUAUGUUUUAGUACCUGUGCUUACUUUUGAGUUUUUUUUUCUAAUGUAGCAAUUUUUUUUUGAAAAACUCAAACAUUUUUACAUUGUAUGUCUACAUUUUUUCGCACGUUGAGCGGUUUGUUGCUCAAUUUUUUUCUUUUUGAACAUGGAAUUCAUUGAGUUGGGUACUAGAUUAGGAUUGAAAGAUGAAGAUUUGAAAGAGAUUGAGCUAGAAACGAUAAAGAGAUAAACAGAGUUACAGAUACAGAAAAACUCAGAGAUAGCUGCUGCAAGUGCUUCUGCAUAAGUCAGGCUAAACUUCCCAAACUACCAGUUUUUGAAGAAACUAAUGACUGUAUUGACUCCUAUUUACAGAGAUUCGAGAGAUUUGCAUUCAACGCAAAAUGGGAAGAGUCCAUCUGGGCCAUCAAUCUCAGUGCAUUGUUAAAAGGUAAAGCUCUGGACGUUUAUUCUAGAUUACCUGCAGGUGAAGCUCUCAAUUACGGAUGUCUGAAGCAGGCGCUACUAAAGCGAUGCCAACUGACAGAGGAAGGAUUUCACUCAAAGUUCCGUAAUUCUAAACCAGAACAAGAGGUCAUCAAAGGAUCAGAGAACAUUGGAGCAUAUUUCCUGAGUCGGCAUGUUGCAGAAUAGAUUAGUUUUAAGUGCAUGAACUGUUCAACUUACGGCACAUUUCAUUUACGAUAAAAUGUUACAAAAUUGUAUUUUGUUCUUAGGAAAGGAGGUAUUGUCACAAUUAUGUUCCAACCAUACUCCCAUACUUUUGGUUGAGUUCUAGUAUCUAAAUUUUGUUUGAAAUGUAUUUCCAUACUUUUGAGUUAUUUAUAUAUUUUUGCUUGCAUGAGUGGUCACUGGGUGUAGUAAUACUACUGGAGAAAACCUGUUUAACAGGUAUUAUUUAUUUUUAAAUAAACUUGCUAAGUGGUUUGAAGAGUGAGGUUAGAUGUAUUCUGGGCGACACGCUGUGUGGACGUGUCUGUACUCUUGGUGAGAUAUCUUGGGCGUUUCCCAUGCUGUGUG